GUGGGGAAUUUUGGACAAUGGGCGCAAGCCUGAUCCAGCCAUGCCGCGUGCAGGAUGAAGGCCUUCGGGUUGUAAACUGCUUUUGUACGGAACGAAAAGACUCUGGUUAAUACCUGGGGUCCAUGACGGUACCGUAAGAAUAAGCACCGGCUAACUACGUGCCAGCAGCCGCGGUAAUACGUAGGGUGCGAGCGUUAAUCGGAAUUACUGGGCGUAAAGCGUGCGCAGGCGGUUUUGUAAGAUCGAUGUGAAAUCCCCGGGCUCAACCUGGGAACUGCAUUGGUGACUGCAAGGCUGGAGUGCGGCAGAGGGGGAUGGAAUUCCGCGUGUAGCAGUGAAAUGCGUAGAUAUGCGGAGGAACACCGAUGGCGAAGGCAAUCCCCUGGGCCUGCACUGACGCUCAUGCACGAAAGCGUGGGGAGCAAACAGGAUUAGAUACCCGAGUAGUCC
RNAcentral lists this ribosomal RNA (450 nucleotides) under uncultured bacterium. RNAcentral describes it as "partial 16S ribosomal RNA". It matches the Rfam family "Bacterial small subunit ribosomal RNA", at positions 354 to 796 of the family's 1533-position model. The record is from RNAcentral.